This 30-nucleotide non-coding RNA is filed under the name Homo sapiens (human). The record is from RNAcentral. Lineage: Eukaryota; Metazoa; Chordata; Mammalia; Primates; Hominidae.
UCCCACUCCACUGUGCUGCGAAAGUGCCUC